GGAAAAUCCAGACAGAAAUGUUUACUGGCUGGAGCAACUUCAUGAACCAGGGACACUGGAAGGCUGGAUAUGCAAUAGUCACUCAUCAGGAGGUCCUAGAAGCAGAAGCCCUCCCUCCAGGUCAUGCCCUUCACAGACAACGGGAAGCACAAGGACAAAAUCAUCCAGACACAGGGUGGCUAUGGAGGCCAAAGCCCUACUUUUCCACUCAAGAGUGUUCUUGUGAACCUUUAACUGAUGUAAAGUAACUUUUCAGGAAAAAAGAAAAAAGACAAACAAUUCAAUGGAGGGGACUCUUGAAUCUCCAGAUAAAUAGGAAGCUGCUCCUGUCCCUUUAACCAGCCUCUGCCUGUCAGGUUGAGAGGCCAGAGCAGAUGACAGCCGGAGAUGGAUUACCCAAGAUCCUGAACCAAGCCUGUAUAACAUGUUCC
Molecule: long non-coding RNA, 431 nt
Filed under: Equus caballus (horse)
Lineage: Eukaryota; Metazoa; Chordata; Mammalia; Perissodactyla; Equidae
Description: lncRNA (ENSECAG00000030125.2)
Source: RNAcentral